RNAcentral lists this unclassified non-coding RNA (239 nucleotides) under plant metagenome. RNAcentral's name for it is "partial contains small subunit ribosomal RNA and internal transcribed spacer 1". The stretch from base 1 to 46 matches the Rfam family "Eukaryotic small subunit ribosomal RNA", at positions 1786 to 1831 of the family's 1831-position model. The record is from RNAcentral.
AAGUCGUAACAAGGUCUCCGUAGGUGAACCUGCGGAGGGAUCAUUACUGAGAUAGUCACCUGGUGCUCUUGGUCCACACUGGACCUCGAGCGCUGGACGCCUAACCUCCAACCCUUUGUUAUCUCUACCAAGUUGCCUCGGGGCGCCCGAAGAUGAGCGAUCGUCUUUUGCCCCGGUGGAACAAUCAUACUCUGUUUUAUCUAUCAAGUCCGAGUCAAAAUUAUUAAAUUAUUUUAAAA